Molecule: non-coding RNA, 312 nt
Organism: Paramuricea clavata
Lineage: Eukaryota; Metazoa; Cnidaria; Anthozoa; Malacalcyonacea; Plexauridae
Source: the annotation of a GenBank genome assembly
GAAGAUCUGUACUCGAGGGUAACAUGGGUCAUCGAAGAAAUGUAGGAUCAUUUAGGAGCAUGCGUAGGCUAUUGGUGGAUGUGGUUGUUGGUCAUGGUUGUUCUGCGCACGAGUCGGGAGUAGCUGCUGGGCUCUUGGGUUCUUACGCUAAAUGGCUGCUCGUCAAGUUGGAUACAGGCACAGAAAAUAUCAAUAAAACUAGCAAUAAGAACAACCCUACUACUGGCAACAACAAUAUCCACAACAACAACAACAACAACAACAACAACAACAACAACAACAACAACAACAACAACAACAACAACAACAACA